GCCUAAAUCCUAGCCCCCAUCAACCUAAACAACAAAUAAACAAAUAACAAAACAUUCUUUUAUUUAGUAACGGCGAUUAAAAAAUAAAUAAGAGCUAUAUAAACAGUACCGCAAGGGAAACAUGAAAUAAAAUGAAAACACAAAGCAAACUACAGCAAAGAUUAACCCUUGUACCUUUUGCAUCAUGGUCUAGCCAGUCUAAUCAAGCAAAACGCACUUAAAGUUUGACCCCCCGAAACUAGGCGAGCUACUCUAAAACAAUCACAGAACUAACCCAUCCCUGUUACAAAAGGGUGGGAUGAUUUUAAAGUAGAGGUGAUACACCUACCGAGCCCAGAAAUAGCUGGUUAUUCAAAAGACGGAUUUAAGUCCAACUCUAAGCUUCUCUUAGUAAUACUAAACACCAACAAGCUUAAAAGUCACUCAAAUAAGGUACAGCCUAUUUGAACAAGGAGACAACCUACAAUUUAGGGUAAUGACAUUAUACACGACUAAGUAGGCCUAAAAGCAGCCAACUUUCAAAAAGCGUCUAAGCAUCAUCACACCACAUCCAUAAUUCCACAACUAACCCAAAACCCCCAAACAUCACUGAAUGACCCCAUACCCAUAUGGUAAACAUUAUGCUAGAACUAGUAACAAGAAGACGAACUUCUCCAAAAUGCAAGCGUAAGCCAAAAUGAACCCACCACCGGCAAUUACCGCUACCACAGUACCAACCCCUACAAGAAAACCCUACUUUACCUAGCGCCAACCUUACACUAGAAUAUUACCGGAAAGAUUAAAAGACGGGGAAGGAAUUCGGCAAAUACUAGCCCCGCCUGUUUACCAAAAACAUCGCCUCCUGACAACUAUGGGAGGUCCAGCCUGCCCAGUGACUAAUAGUUAAACGGCCGCGGUACCCUAACCGUGCAAAGGUAGCACAAUCACUUGUCCUCUAAAUCAGGACUAGUAUGAACGGCCCCACGAGAGCUAUGCUGUCUCCCCCCUCUAAUCAGUGAAACUGAUCCCCUCGUGAAGAAGCGAGGAUACCCCCAUAAGACGAGAAGACCCCAUGGAACUUUAAACUAGCACCACCUCUCUUCCUAUACCACACCAACAGAACCACAUGACUGCUAGUCUUUCGGCUGGGGCAGCCACGGGGAAAAACAGAACCCCCGAGAUAAAAAGAACCCCCUCUAAUCCAAGAACUACCAUUCAAAGAAUCAACAAAUGACAUUAUUGACCCAACAAUUGACCAACGAACCAAGCUACCCUGGGGAUAACAGCGCAAUCCAUUUCAAGAGACCUCAUCAACAAAUGGGCUUACGACCUCGAUGUUGGAUCAGGGCAUCCCGGUGGUGCAGCCGCUACCAAAGGUUCGUUUGUUCAACGAUUAAAACCCU
This 1382-nucleotide ribosomal RNA is filed under the name Rhombophryne mangabensis. Its description in RNAcentral is "partial 16S ribosomal RNA". It matches the Rfam family "Bacterial large subunit ribosomal RNA", at positions 157 to 2597 of the family's 2925-position model. Lineage: Eukaryota; Metazoa; Chordata; Amphibia; Anura; Microhylidae. The record is from RNAcentral.